GACACCUGAUGCUGGUGCUAAGCCCUCUAGCCCUCAGGGCUUUGACGGGGACAAAUUCUUGUUGUUUGCUCAUCUGACUCACUCUCAGACCCACAACAGGAGGAGGACAGCAAGGGUUAAACCGGCCUGGCAGGAUUUAUGCCCUACCAGGACACUCAUUUGCUGAUUGAACUUGUUAAGAUGUGCAUGGAUGUCAGUACAAGAGGAAGGAAACUCCUUGGAGGAAAGCUUCAGGUCCUGAACUCCAUAUGAGAAACAGCGAAAUAACUUGGAUCUUUAGUUUCUGGACUGGAAUGCUACAUUUUCCCAGCUGGUGCUUCAAUAUAACAGUUAACAGGAGGGUAUCAAGCAGAACACAGGCCAUUGCACCUACGGGAUACACCUCACUUACGGACAUUUUUACAUCUUAUAGUUCAUCAGGUGAAGAACAUGUGUUUGUCAUCACUGCUAUGAAUUUAGUGGAAACAGAAAUGAACUACAAUAUGUAAGCUUGACAUUAUUAUAAAAAUACACUCAAAAAACACAA
Long non-coding RNA from Pogoniulus pusillus (Red-fronted tinkerbird), 526 nucleotides. RefSeq lists it as uncharacterized. The transcript has 3 exons. Lineage: Eukaryota; Metazoa; Chordata; Aves; Piciformes; Lybiidae. The record is from RefSeq and is a predicted model, not a curated record.